RNAcentral lists this long non-coding RNA (498 nucleotides) under Lupinus angustifolius (narrow-leaved blue lupine). RNAcentral describes it as "long non-coding RNA (LANG_LNC000459)". Lineage: Eukaryota; Viridiplantae; Streptophyta; Magnoliopsida; Fabales; Fabaceae. The record is from RNAcentral.
UGAAUUUUAUUGAUUGUAAAAGAGAGAUGUACACUGUAUAUUUAUACAAGAGUGUUAACUUGAAGAAUAAGCUAACUAACUUAACUAACUAUAGCUUAACAAACUAAAACAUAUUUAUCACAUGUCAAAUUAAAAAAGGCUCUGCUGAAAUCCUUUCUUCUAGAAGAAAAAUGCACAUGCUCAUAUCAAAGGAAACAAUGCCAAUGGAUUUGCCAAGGAACAAAUUAUGUCUGCACCAAUUGAUGCAGACUUGAUGCGCCAAUCAGGCAUCACUGAUGCGCCAACCUGCAUAACUGUCUCGGUCAGAAACUCUUCUGAUGCGCCAAUGCAUGUCUGAUGCGCCAAGGCCUGUCUCGGAUAAGCUCAGCAUGAUGCACCAAGUCCUGGAAUCCUGAUUCGGUCAAGAUAAAUGUUGGUGCGUAUGACCGAUGUGGUGACACGGUCACGAUGUCCAGCCACCUCGGUCAGAAUUAAAAACUGGCUUGGCCAUGACUCGAG